RNA transcript from Piliocolobus tephrosceles (Ugandan red Colobus), 801 nucleotides. It is a transcript of the gene named ATP synthase subunit ATP5MPL, mitochondrial pseudogene, with no coding region annotated. The record is from RefSeq and is a predicted model, not a curated record. The transcript has a single exon. Lineage: Eukaryota; Metazoa; Chordata; Mammalia; Primates; Cercopithecidae.
AAUUUGUAUUGUUUAGUUUAUUUCCUUUUUUUGUGAGUGAACUUAAUCUUCAGUUGAUCGGCAAUUUUCAGCAGGAAUGAUAAAGAGUCUUCAUGGAUGGCUAAAGCUCGCCUUUGGGUUUUCCUUUUCUCAUCUACUGAAAACACCCCUCACUUCCAGGAACUGUCUGCGUAGGUUUCUUAGCUGAGCUCCAUCACCAUUAACUUUCCUCCUUCUCUUCUGCCACUUCUGCAAGCCCUUCCUUAACUGACUUGAAAUGAGAGCCCCAAAAGCUCGCAGAGACUCUAGGGCUGUGGUGCAUAUCCCUCACCUAUUCUUGUGAGUCAGUACAAAAAAUUAAAUAGCUCAAAAUUUUAUUUAUUGUUAUGCUCCUCAAGAAAGAUCCCUCCUGCUUUCUGAGUCGGCUGCAGGUUUGUGGUGCGCUCUGAGGCAUCUGUCCUGCGCCAAGAUGCUUCCAAGUAUUAUUAAAAAUGUGUGGAUCCCCACGAAGCCCUACUAUACCCAAGUUUACCAGGAGAUUUGGAUAGGAAUGGGGCUGAUGGGCUUCAUCGUUUAUAAAAUCCGGGCCGCUGAUAAAAGAAGUAAGGCUUUGAAAGCUUCGGCGCCUGCUCCUGGUCAUCACUAACCAGAUUUACUUGGAGUACAUGUGAAAGAAAACAUCGGUCCGCCUGUAAAUUUAAGCAAGCCGUAUUAGAUGGGGAGCGUGGAACGUCCCUCUACACUUGUAUAAGUACCAUUUACUUCACGGCAUGAAUAAAUGGAUCUGUGAGGUGCAAAAAAAAAAAAAAAAAAAAAAAAAAA